This 260-nucleotide non-coding RNA is filed under the name Niallia circulans. RNAcentral's name for it is "Bacillus circulans T-box sequence". It matches the Rfam family "T-box leader". From Rfam's summary of the family: Uncharged tRNA acts as the effector for transcription antitermination of genes in the T-box leader family. T-boxes are found upstream of many aminoacyl-tRNA synthetase genes and some amino acid biosynthetic genes usually in Gram-positive bacteria. The anticodon of a specific tRNA base pairs to a specifier sequence within the T-box motif, and the NCCA acceptor tail of the tRNA base pairs to a conserved bulge in the T-box antiterminator hairpin. Lineage: Bacteria; Bacillati; Bacillota; Bacilli; Caryophanales; Bacillaceae. The record is from RNAcentral.
UUGUAGGCGUUGAAAAGGAAAAGUAAAUAAGGGGAGAUUUUAUAGAGAGCUUCUGACGGUGGAAAAGAGGCAAAUGAACCUUAUUGAAAAUGACCUUGGAGCUUCGUACCGAAAACGAUCCGUGAGUAGACUACGACGAGAUAGGCACUCGUUAUAACAGCAGCAGUAUCUCUUCUUUUUUUAAAGACGUACUGAAUAGAGGCAAAUAGUGUAAACUAUUUGUGAAGCUAGGUGGUACCACGGGUUAACUCGUCCUAAUC